This 1178-nucleotide long non-coding RNA is filed under the name Volvox carteri. RNAcentral describes it as "long non-coding RNA (VCAR_LNC001206)". The record is from RNAcentral. Lineage: Eukaryota; Viridiplantae; Chlorophyta; Chlorophyceae; Chlamydomonadales; Volvocaceae.
CCAAGGCACCGCCAUAUCUUUGCUUGCAGGUAUCCAUCAGGCCACCGAAACAUUGCAAUGCAUCCCGGCUUUCGGUCUGUCCCGCUCCUCUGAGCUGCUUUCCGAGCAAAGCGGCAACUGUGUCAGACAGCCUGUAAGCGCCGCUAUUCAUUGGAGAGCUUGUGAUAUCGUGUAUCAUAGCAUGUUCCAUUAAUUGUAUUUAUGCAGGAUUCGUGAAAUGAAAUUGUGCUUAAAUUUGUUGGAACCCGCGAAACGUGUCUGUAGCCUUCCUUACCCUCUUUUGGCUGAACCGUCGUUUCCAGGACGCGCUCUCCAUGGAAAUGUAGAGCUGUGAAAGGCUAGGUGGAUCGGAUGCAAUAGUGAUUGCCAGAGCGUUACAAAAGCAACUAACGGCUCAGCUCAGCUACAACUCACUACUCUACAAGCAUACCAGACCAAAGAUAAACGCUCACUCAUUCCUAUUUAUUGUCGAGUUCGACAGUCGAUCAGCGAGUAUGGAGGGUGGCUCCACUCUAUCCAAAAACCAACUAUCACGCAAGCACCAGGCGACAGACUGACCGGACAUCAUUUUCCUCAACACUCCCACGCGGGCAGUCUGCAAGCCUGUUCGACUAUCACACUCCCAUAGCCAAACGAAAUCGCUUAAACAUUGCAUGACUCAACGGUUUCGUGAUGCAAUCAGCGACCAUAUCGGCUGUACCACAAUAACGAAAACAAAUUUGUUUUCGGUUUAAACCUCGCUCCCCAUCUUGUGGACGGUGUAGGACGUGCUAAUAUCAACUUGCGAGCUGACCAGGAACUAAGAUGAGGCGCCGUUAAUCCGCCAGAUUUGGUUGGAUGCUGGUGGUGAGAUGCUGAACCCAACGAAUACACUCAGAAAUUGGAUGGUGUGCAUGGAUUAGGGUGCCCCUCUCGCAGAGGAGAGCAGGGAAAUGCCUCGGGAUAGGGGGCCGCUGGUGAAGCUUAACCACCCUGUAACAAUAUACAUUCACACAUACAUUCAUACACACAGCGGUAUCUGCUGACACCGUCCAGAUUCCCCAUCACCCAUUCCCUGAUCCUCAAGGUUUACACACCACAGACCCACCUCGCAGUCAUCCUCCUUGCCGUGGCUGUGCUUGUGAUCGUGGUCAUGCUUCUCCUGAUCCCGGUUCUUCUCUGCCUCCUCCAGCACCUGC